AUUGAACGCUGGCGGCAGGCCUAACACAUGCAAGUCGAGCGAGCGGCGGACGGGUGAGUAAUGUAUGGGGACUGCCCGAUAGAGGGGGAUCACCACUGGAAACGGUGGCUAAUACCGCAUACUAUCGGAUAACCCAUAUGGGAUUAGCUAGUAGGUGGGGUAAAGGCUCACCUAGGCGACGAUCUCUAGCUGGUCUGAGAGGAUGAUUCGCCAACCGGGGACGAAGACAGGCCCCAAGUCCCAACGUGGGAAGACGGGGGGAAUAAUGUACAAUGGGCGCAAGCCUGAUGCAGCCAUGCCGCGUGUAUGAAGAAGGCCUUAGGGUUGUAAAGUACUUUCAGCGGGGAGGCGUUACCCGCAGAAGAAGCACCGGCUAACUCCGUGCCAGCAGCCGCGGUAAUUC
This 403-nucleotide ribosomal RNA is filed under the name uncultured bacterium. RNAcentral describes it as "partial 16S ribosomal RNA". It matches the Rfam family "Bacterial small subunit ribosomal RNA", at positions 30 to 526 of the family's 1533-position model. The record is from RNAcentral.